This 418-nucleotide ribosomal RNA is filed under the name uncultured bacterium. RNAcentral's name for it is "bacterial SSU rRNA". It matches the Rfam family "Bacterial small subunit ribosomal RNA", at positions 362 to 777 of the family's 1533-position model. The record is from RNAcentral.
UAUUGGUCAGUGGACGCAAGUCUGAACCAGCCAUGCCGCGUGCAGGAAGACGGCUCUAUGAGUUGUAAACUGCUUUUGUAUUAGGGUAAACUCAGGUACGUGUACCUGACUGAAAGUAUAAUACGAAUAAGGAUCGGCUACCUCCGUGCCCGCAGCCGCGGUAAUACGGAGGAUCCAAGCGUUAUCCGGAUUUAUUGGGUUUAAAGGGUGCUUAGACGGUUUGAUAAGUUAGAGGUGGAAUACCGGGGCUUAACUCCGGAACUGCCUCUAAUACUGUUGAACUAGAGAGUAGUUGCGGUAGGCGGAAUGUAUGGUGUAGCGGUGAAAUGCUUAGAGAUCAUACAGAACACCGAUUGCGAAGGCAGCUUACCAAACUAUAUCUGACGUUGAGGCACGAAAGCGUGGGGAGCAAACAGGA